UGCCAGCCGCCGCGGUAAUACGGAGGGUGCGAGCGUUAAUCGGAAUUAUUGGGCGUAAAGCGCGUGUAGGCGGUUCGUUAAGUCUGAUGUGAAACCCCGGGGCUCAACCCCGGAACUGCAUUUGAAACUUCAUUUCUUGAGGGUAGGCGGAGAAAACGGAAUUCCAUGUGUAGCGGUGAAAUGCGUAGAUAUAUGGAAGAACACCAGUGGCGAAGGCGGUUUUCUAGCUUAUUCCUGACACUAAGGCGCGAAAGCAAGGGGAGCGAACAGGAUUAGAUA
Molecule: ribosomal RNA, 279 nt
Filed under: uncultured bacterium
Lineage: Bacteria
Description: partial 16S ribosomal RNA
Rfam family: Bacterial small subunit ribosomal RNA
Source: RNAcentral